RNAcentral lists this transfer RNA (65 nucleotides) under Dipodomys ordii (Ord's kangaroo rat). It matches the Rfam family "tRNA". Rfam says of the family: Transfer RNA (tRNA) molecules are approximately 80 nucleotides in length. Their secondary structure includes four short double-helical elements and three loops (D, anti-codon, and T loops). Further hydrogen bonds mediate the characteristic L-shaped molecular structure. tRNAs have two regions of fundamental functional importance: the anti-codon, which is responsible for specific mRNA codon recognition, and the 3' end, to which the tRNAs corresponding amino acid is attached (by aminoacyl-tRNA synthetases). tRNAs cope with the degeneracy of the genetic code in two manners: having more than one tRNA (with a specific anti-codon) for a particular amino acid; and 'wobble' base-pairing, i.e. permitting non-standard base-pairing at the 3rd anti-codon position. The record is from Rfam by way of RNAcentral. Lineage: Eukaryota; Metazoa; Chordata; Mammalia; Rodentia; Heteromyidae.
GGUGGCUCAGUGGUAGAGUGUUUGCCUCACAUGCAUGAGGACCUGGGUUUGAUUCCUCAGCACCA